GACACGGGGGGCAGCAGUGGGGAAUAUUGCACAAUGGGGGAAACCCUGAUGCAGCGACGCCGCGUGAAGGAAGAAGUAUUUCGGUAUGUAAACUUCUAUCAGCAGGGAAGAAAAUGACGGUACCUGACUAAGAAGCCCCGGCUAACUACGUGCCAGCAGCCGCGGUAAUACGUAGGGGGCAAGCGUUAUCCGGAUUUACUGGGUGUAAAGGGAGCGUAGGCGGCUUAGCAAGUCAGAAGUGAAAGCCCGGGGCUCAACUCCGGGACUGCUUUUGAAACUGUUGAACU
RNAcentral lists this ribosomal RNA (287 nucleotides) under uncultured bacterium. Its description in RNAcentral is "partial 16S ribosomal RNA". It matches the Rfam family "Bacterial small subunit ribosomal RNA", at positions 334 to 642 of the family's 1533-position model. The record is from RNAcentral.